AAAGCAGGGAAGGCCAGAAAAUGGCAAACAAUAUGUGGAUAUUUGUUCUAUUGGCAGUAUUUGCUGGGAUACAUGAAUGUUCUACACAAGUGGAACCAUCCUUCAAAUAUAUGACUGUUU
This is a long non-coding RNA of Anguilla anguilla (European eel), 120 nucleotides long. RefSeq lists it as uncharacterized. NCBI's taxonomy places the organism in Eukaryota, Metazoa, Chordata, Actinopteri, Anguilliformes, Anguillidae. The transcript has 4 exons. The record is from RefSeq and is a predicted model, not a curated record.